UGAGUAACCUGCCCUUGACUCUGGGAUAAGCGUUGGAAACGACGUCUAAUACCGGAUACGAGCUUCAGCCGCAUGGCUAGGAGUUGGAAAGAAUUUUGGUCAAGGAUGGACUCGCGGCCUAUCAGGUAGUUGGUGAGGUAAAGGCUCACCAAGGCGACGACGGGUAGCCGGCCUGAGAGGGUGACCGGCCACACGUGGGACUGAGACACGGCCCAGACCUCCGUACGGGAGGCAG
Molecule: ribosomal RNA, 235 nt
Filed under: uncultured bacterium
Lineage: Bacteria
Description: partial 16S ribosomal RNA
Rfam family: Bacterial small subunit ribosomal RNA
Source: RNAcentral